RNAcentral lists this long non-coding RNA (247 nucleotides) under Homo sapiens (human). Its description in RNAcentral is "HSALNT0225219". The record is from RNAcentral. Lineage: Eukaryota; Metazoa; Chordata; Mammalia; Primates; Hominidae.
GGCAGUGUCAAGGAUGCCUGUGUGUUUGCAGCAGGUUCCUUCCAGAAGCAGCUUUCUUGUGAAACCUUAUCUGUUCUUCCCUGGACAAAACGUGUUGUUUUCAUUGUGUUAGAUAGCCUAACACUGGAGAAAAUUCAGCAGAUCACAGUGCACAUCCCCAAGUUGCAAUGUGGGGACGGACAGUUCAGACGUGGAACUCCCAGGUAUUUGCCGGACUGGUCCGUGUAAGACCUCUCACCGGUUCGCA